Onychostoma macrolepis is the source of this 659-nucleotide long non-coding RNA. RefSeq lists it as uncharacterized. Lineage: Eukaryota; Metazoa; Chordata; Actinopteri; Cypriniformes; Cyprinidae. The transcript is spliced from 5 exons. The record is from RefSeq and is a predicted model, not a curated record.
CUUCUCCGCACAUCCUCUUCACCUCAUCAGCAUCCCAGCCAUCAGGAUAUAUCAUACAGCCCAACACCAGACACGUACCUAAGAGAGAAAGCAGGCAUUGUGAGUCGUCCAGGUUAGCAGUGAAGGAUGAAAAAAGGUGCUUCCUCACGCUCAUCUUCCCCUGACAUCGCUUGACUUGGCAUUUGUUUGAAAUGGCUUUACAUCCCAGCCAAUGGAAGGAGAAGAAAGAAGCACCAAGGACGAUAAGGGAAGGAGACAAGAUGGAUGGAGAGAGGAGAAUAUAAUGCAAGAGAGGGAUGAAUGGUGGGAAAGAAUAGAAGAAAAGAGAAUAAGAGAGAGAAAAUCACCUCACUGCAUCCAUGCUUGACAGUGAAUGUAUCUCGUCAUAGCUGAUGCAAAUGCAUCAGUGGGAGUGCUGCAGAAUCAAUGCCUCUGUUACGGGCAUUGUAGGAGAUUUGCAGACGCUCCCAUGGGCGACAAGGUAAGCACCCCACUGUCCAAACGGCAACUAGCAGCAAUAACAUCUGCUCCCUGCAGAGGGUUUGAUGGCAUCAAACAUUCACACUUCCCUCAAGGGACAGCAGUCGAUUUCCAAGAGAUGGGUCUUCAGUAUGAACUUCUGAGAAAACCCACCAACCAGCCAAUUACGGUGAUUACAG